CUGCGUCGGUCUCGGUCCGGUUCGUCCGGAUUCGAGCGUGAGAGGGAAUCUGGUGUGAAUCCAGAGCUGCCCCGCAGCGGUGACCGGAAACGACAGCGGCCAAGAGCACUGGGUCCGACAAGACCUGGGAAGCGGCCGUCAGUAGGUGGCACGACCCCGGAGGGGGUGCCGUGUCCGGGAGUCCGAAGACCUGCCGAACGCGGCUGCGGCGG
This 212-nucleotide non-coding RNA is filed under the name Gordonia soli. The record is from RNAcentral. Lineage: Bacteria; Bacillati; Actinomycetota; Actinomycetes; Mycobacteriales; Gordoniaceae.